This 276-nucleotide ribosomal RNA is filed under the name uncultured prokaryote. Its description in RNAcentral is "partial 16S ribosomal RNA". It matches the Rfam family "Bacterial small subunit ribosomal RNA", at positions 524 to 801 of the family's 1533-position model. The record is from RNAcentral.
UACGUAGGGGCGAGCGUUGUCCGGAUUUACUGGGCGUAAAGGGUGAGUAGGCGGUUGUAUAUGUCAGGUGUAAAAGGCUAUGGCUUAACCAUGGUUAGCACUUGAAACUGUACAACUUGAGUGCAGGAGAGGUAAGUGGAAUUCCUAGUGUAGCGGUGAAAUGCGUAGAUAUUAGGAGGAACACCAGUGGCGAAGGCGACUUACUGGACUGUAACUGACGCUGAGUCACGAAAGCGUGGGUAGCAAACAGGAUUAGAUACCCGGGUAGUCCCUGAG